GGUUCCAGUAACCGGACAUAAAGCCCAGGGACCGAGUGGGUUAAUACUGCUUCUAAGGACUGCUAAACGCAAGGAAGUGUUCAUUCUCUUCCCAGCCUCUGGCCUUUCUGAACUUGAACAAAAAAAUAAACUCUGAUUUUGAAAGAAAACGGGAAGUACAAAGGCACUGCAAAGUCAUCCAUAGAAGACACUAUUCUCAAACUUGAACUUCCCACACAGAAAGUUCUGUUGUUGGAGAGUGUUUAAACAUAUGGACAUGAGCUUGUGUGUAGGCCUUCCACCAAGAAAAAGUUGUUCUUCCUCCAGAGUUAUGCUCAGUUUUGAGAGUGCUGCACGCAGGACUAGGUUAUCCCAGAUCUGAGCACUCUGCCUUCAGUCUGAGCAGCAGAGCUGUGAUGUCUCAACAGCAGGCAGGAAAUGUUUCUCCCUGAAGUGUUCAGGCCACAGUAGAAGAAAGGAGCAAGAGCACUCCAUUUUCCCCUCUAGCUGCCAGCAAACCAUCUUAGGAUUCAUUCUGAAUAUUUCAGGAUCAAAAGCUAGAUGAAAUUCAUUAGAAACUAUGGUACUCUGGACUGGUGAAGAAAAGGCUAGAAGAAGAAGAUUGGCGAGAACUCAACCUUGUCAGAGUUUGGCCUGGAACAGAACUCCUUGACCUGGAAGCUGCAGCUGAUGGAGAACCUGCCUCUCAUUUGUACUUCUGGAGAACAAUGAGCUAUUCACUUCUGCUGUGCUGCAAGGCUUAUUCACUUUAUGGUCAAUUCUCAAAUGUCUGUGAGAAGAUUAUCUGGGUUAUGUAUUAUAUGUGUCAUGCUUUAAAAAAAAGAAAAUCCUUUUCUGACCUCAUUCCAUGCUUACAGUCUCAUUCUUAAAAGGUAAAUAUACU
Passer domesticus (house sparrow) is the source of this 883-nucleotide long non-coding RNA. RefSeq lists it as uncharacterized. The record is from RefSeq and is a predicted model, not a curated record. The transcript has 7 exons. NCBI's taxonomy places the organism in Eukaryota, Metazoa, Chordata, Aves, Passeriformes, Passeridae.